CAAAAUUCUAAUUGUAUAUUUCCAACAGCUUUCCGUUGUGUGCUAAAUAACAACGGAUUUUAUACAAUCGCGACAGCUUACUGUAGUCGUAAUUCGGAUAUAUAAAUUACUACAACAAAGCUUGCACAAGUAGUGUGUUUAAUUCCUUCGGCUUAUUAGUACGUACUAUUGCAAUGAUGGUUGAAGAAGACGCUCAACAACAGAUGCAAAACAAUACAUAUCUUGAUGAACUUCAAGCCGAAGUUACAUCACUUUCUCCCUCUUCUCAUGCUGCUCGAUUAAUAACAGAAGAAAUCUGUUCUUUAGAAAUAGAAAGAGUUCAAUCAGGGAAUGCACCAGCUGGUUCACAAAAAGAUGAAAAAAAUAUACCAUGUUUUGAAAUACACACUGGAAAACCAUACAAACACUCGUGUAAAAUCAAGAUUCCUGUUAAAGAAUUUCCCAAGUUCAAUUUUGUGGGAAAGUUAUUAGGACCAAAAGGUAAUUCGUUAAAAAGACUACAGGAAGAAACAAUGACAAAAAUGUCUAUACUUGGUAAAGGUUCAAUGAGAGACAAAGAUAAGGAAGAUGAGCUAAGAAAGAAAGGUGGAAAAUAUACCCACUUAAAUGAAGAUCUUCAUGUUCUGGUAGAAGUUUAUGCAGAAGCAUCAGAUGCAUAUCAAAGAAUGGCACAUGCUUUCACUGAAUUACAGAAGUAUUUAAUUCCGAAUGAUUACAAUGAUGAAAUCCGUCAACAGCAACUUCAAGAAUUGAUGUAUUUAAAUGGUAGCGAUGGUGGUCGUGGUCGAGGUCGUGGCAGAGGUGCUCCCGGACAGACGCCCCGAGGGGCACCACGGGGUGGUCUUCUAACGUCUCCUGCUGGAAGAGGUGGUCCCGCUGGCAGGGGUGGUGCUAUUCCACCUCCUACGAGGGGUGCUCCCGCAGGACGUGGUACACCCCCAUCAAGAGGUGGUCCACCAAGAGGGGGUAUGGCGGCUGGCAGAGGUCGGGCAGCACCUGCUCCACAAGUGCCACCACCCAUGGAACAAAGCUAUGAUGACUAUGGAUACGAUCAAAGUUAUAAUGAAGGUUAUGGAGAUCAAAGUGGUUAUGAAGGUGGUUAUGGUGAUCAGUCAUAUGGCCAAGUGGAUUCACAAUAUUACGAUUACGGCGCUGGGGGACAAUAUGAUGAGGGAUAUGGUGAUGGUGGCUGGGGCUCAAAUGUUGGACAGAUGAAGGCCCCACCACCUACUAGAGGUGCAAAGGGACAAUACAGAAGUCAUCCAUAUGGAGGUAGAGGCGGAGGUUACUAAAAACUAGCCCUGGUCAAAACCUAACCCUGCUGCACUGGUCGUAUUCGCUGUCUUCGUCCAGUCUCCAUCCACUUAAGCCGAGUGGCUUUGACCAACUGAUGCCAAUCUCAGUUGUGGCCCACAGAAGAAUGACAAGCAUGUGAGCAAGGAGGUACAAAAAUCAUGACUUCAUGCACCAUAUUUCACUCUUCCAUAUCACCCCAACACUUAAUAAGUGGGACAUUUUCAUUGAAUUUUGGUCUCCUUUCAUCCAUUUUAUUGUCACUCUGUGACACAGAACUGGCAAGGACCUAACAAGGCUUUUUAAGUAUUUUAACUCUUAAACCCAAACUACAUCGACCACGUUCUCCUCAUUGUCAGUAUCCAUGUAGUACAAAAUGAUUUUAGUGAUGUUUUGUCACCUCAUGCUUCCGUGCUGCCAAAUGUAGAUUUUAAUCUUUGUCAAAAAUUUUAAAAUAAAAAAAAUAUAUAUAUAUAUGUAUAUAUUUAUAUAUAUGCAUAUAUAUAUAAAUAUAUAAAAAAAUAUCAAGUUUUAAACUAGUUUUAGAAGUCAGCCUUUUGUUUUUUCUGCUGGACACCUAAAAAGCUUAAUGAGUCUGAUUAGAUUCUUCAACUUUGAAAAAUGUAAGUAAAACUGAAUCAACUAUGAGUAUCAAUAGUUGGUAAUGCCACAAUAUUAGUAAAUGUUGUGGCGGUUAAAACCCAGUAACUUGAAUUAUUUAAAAAAGUUAAAAAUAAAAUAAUAAAAAAAAUACAUAAAAUUCAGUCUAAAAUUACUCUGGUCCGUUGUUUAUUUCAACUUGCUAAAAAUCUCCUCCAGGACCUAAAUGGAGACUGGGCACAUACAAUGCAUUUUAAAACUUAGUAAAACUACCAAACUAGUUCUAAAUAGCUUAAGGAUAGAGCCACUAGAUAUCCAAACUGUUGUAAAUCAAUUUCAAAUGCUGCUAAACAAAUUAUCAGGUUGAGGAAAAAUAUAUGUAUAUAUAUAAUAAUAACAACAACAAUAAUAAUAAUAAUAAUCUUUAGGCAAUUUUUUAAAGAUGCAGCAAAUUUUGAUAUUAUUGUACAACCCUAAAUAAAUUAAUCCAGGCACAUAAAACUAACCAAACAAAAACAAUACAAAACAAAGAAAAAAAGUCUUAAACGUAACAGGCUUCUAUCCUUAAGGCUUGUAUGUGCUCACUAAAAAGAUAGAGGCUAGCUGCUAAUAUGUCGAUAUUAGCACUUAUCCUGGUUUAUAUUGAAAUUCAGUGAAAAAAAUGUACAAAUGUUAAUGUUGUCGCACUUGUAGUACAUCAGCAGGGAUUGUAUAAGUUUUUGUACAAGUACUCAAGUUUCUGGCAUUUAUUGCCAGUAAAAUUCUACUACUACUACUACUACUACUACUACUACUACUACAAUUUGGACGGCUACUGAGACUCCAGGGAAAAACAAAGACACAGGAAAUGUGAUAUCAGCACUUAAGGUAUCUUUACUGCUUGAUCGAGGAAUCCCAAUCCAUAGUAAUGCCAGAUAUCACUUGAGACCUGAUCUUAAAACGUCCAAGAUGGGAAGCCUGUGAUUUUUGUAUUUUACUGUAUUUUUAAAAGUAUUUUUAAAAAAAAUAAACUAUUUUUCUAUAAAAAAAU
This is an unclassified non-coding RNA of Octopus bimaculoides (California two-spot octopus), 2923 nucleotides long. NCBI's taxonomy places the organism in Eukaryota, Metazoa, Mollusca, Cephalopoda, Octopoda, Octopodidae. The record is from RefSeq and is a predicted model, not a curated record.